Molecule: ribosomal RNA, 301 nt
Filed under: uncultured bacterium
Lineage: Bacteria
Description: partial 16S ribosomal RNA
Rfam family: Bacterial small subunit ribosomal RNA
Source: RNAcentral
CAGCAGCCACGGUAAUACAGAGGGUGCAAGCGUUAAUCGGAAUUACUGGGCGUAAAGCGCGCGUAGGUGGUUUGUUAAGUUGGAUGUGAAAUCCCCGGGCUCAACCUGGGAACUGCAUCCAAAACUGGCAAGCUAGAGUAUGGUAGAGGGUGGUGGAAUUUCCUGUGUAGCGGUGAAAUGCGUAGAUAUAGGAAGGAACACCAGUGGCGAAGGCGACCACCUGGACUGAUACUGACACUGAGGUGCGAAAGCGUGGGGAGCAAACAGGAUUAGAUACCCCAGUAGUCCCUGUCUCUUAUAC